CCGCACCGCCGCCGGCCACCGCCGGUCGCCGCCGUCGCCGGAAUCCGGAUUUCAACCAAAAUUUCCAGAUUUUCUUCUCUUCCUUCCCUCUUUCCAUUUCUCCAACCAAAAUCAAGAAAUUUAGCCAUUCACUCACCCAAAAACCCUAGAACCUGAAGCCAAAAUUGGGGUUUUUGUGAUUUCUUCUUUCCAAGCUCAAAUCAAGGCUACGGGUUUGACAAGGAUUUUUGGUAAGGAUCUAUCCAUGCAACCUUGUUUUCGAGUUUUUGGUUGAGAUGUUGAUUAUGGACGGAUUUGUAGGUGAAGAAGGCCAAGGAGAAGGUAUAUGACGUGGUUUUUGAAGGAGAAAGGGUAAGGAAUGGGUUUUGGACAAACCCUAGAAUUUUUGGAAUUUAUUUGAUUGAUUUGGUUUAUGUUGAGCUAUUGUUGUUGUUGGAAAAAUUGUGAAAUUAGAGAUUUGAGGAUGGAUAAAUUAGUAGGAUUUUAUUAGCAUAAUUUUCUUAGUGUUGGAA
This is a long non-coding RNA of Rosa rugosa (rugosa rose), 512 nucleotides long. RefSeq lists it as uncharacterized. The transcript has 2 exons. NCBI's taxonomy places the organism in Eukaryota, Viridiplantae, Streptophyta, Magnoliopsida, Rosales, Rosaceae. The record is from RefSeq and is a predicted model, not a curated record.